RNAcentral lists this long non-coding RNA (998 nucleotides) under Dasypus novemcinctus (nine-banded armadillo). Its description in RNAcentral is "lncRNA (ENSDNOG00000050372.1)". Lineage: Eukaryota; Metazoa; Chordata; Mammalia; Cingulata; Dasypodidae. The record is from RNAcentral.
UGUGCCUACUUGGGUUCUGAGAGUCUUUGGGGAAUCUUUAGAUUGGUGUUAGGCAUCAGAAUAUCUACCAGGACUCUCUCAAUUCUCUGCUCUGGAGUUUGCUAUCCACUGUUUCCUCAUCUAGAAAGCAGGAUUAUAGCAAAGUGAUUUUUAGUUAGGAUUAACAGUCCCUGUCUUCCAUAAUGUAAAAAUUCCGUCAACUUUUGUCUCCUACUGGGGAAGGUUAAGUUUAUACAGGACAAGAUGGCAGCUGCUGGGUCCUAUGCUGUGUUGCUUUCCCCAGCUCAGACUGUUUUUUGGGCUUCUGAUACUUUCAGCAUGCCCUGGGUCCUUUUUUGUCCUUCUGUCUGAUGUGAUAACAGGCUGCCUGAGUCCUGGUCAUUGCUUAUGCUGGCAAAGGAAAAAUUGCAAAGGUGUUGGGUCAGCCUUAGGUGACGCAGUGGGGAGAGCAUGAAGUAGGCAGGGAACUGAGGAAGCUGUCAGCAGAUUCGCUUCCUAAGGCCCCGAUUUCCAAGGAUUUCCCUAUUAAUGAGCAUAAUGGUUUCUUGGACAUGUUGUAAGCAGUGCCAGGUGGGCUGAUCACAUGCUGGCUUCUUGUCCUCUGCAGGAGUGUCACAUGUCUGCUGUUCGGGUGUGUGAGCGGUGGGUGUCCUUGGGUCCAGAUUCAUGAUGGUAUUUGUGGACACCAGAGUGGCACAGAACCGAGAUUGAGGCUGCCAGAUGAAGCAUCACCAGAGCUCCUUCAUUCUGCACAAGAGAAGAGAGGGAAAGGCUUAGGGUCCAGACAUUGGAGAUGCUGUAGCUGGGCUCUGGAUUGUACCAACAGGGCCAACAGAGGGCAAUGGGCAAGGCCCAGUCCCAUGUCCCUCCACCAUACCUGGCACGGCUUUAUAAUAACAAAGAAUUUUUCUCUUAGAUUUGUAGCCCUUUUCGUCAUCAUCCUCUCCUCCCACCCAUUCAAUAAACAAACUUGCUCAACCUGCCUUUUAAAUCAGUAA